AUGCCCUCCCGCCACCUCCAGGCCCAGCCACCAACCAUCCCCCCUCCCCCUCCUGCCACCCUCCACGCCGCCAGCAACCACCGCCACCUCCUCCUCGCGGCCACCGCCGCGGCCGCCACAGCAGUAGUACUCCUCCUCCUCCUCUUAUUCACCGUCCUCCUCGCGCUCCACCUCCGCCGCCGCCGCCGCCGCCCCACGCUGCCCUUCUCCCCGCCCGCGCGCCCGCUGCGCCGCUACUCCCGCCGCGCGCUGCGCCGCGCCACCGGCGGCUUCCACCCGUCCCGCCUCCUCGGCCGCGGCGCCGCCUCGCCGGUCUACCUCGCCACCUUCCCCGACGCCUCCCUCGCCGCCGUCAAGACCUGCUCCUCGCCGCACGAGCUCCACGUGCUCGCCUCCCUCCCGCCCGACUCCCCGCGCCUCGUCUCCCUCCUCGGGUACGCCGGCUCCGGCGCCGACGGCCGGCCCCUGCUCCUCGUCUUCGAGUACCUGCCGCAGGGGUCCCUCCAGGCCGCGCUCUUCGGGGACGACCGCUGCCUCGACUGGGCGCAGCGGCGAGGAGUCGUCCGCGACGUGGCGCGCGCACUGGCCUUCCUCCACGCCGAGUGCCAGCCGCCGGUCGUGCACGGGGACCUCAAGCCCAGCAACGUCCUCCUCGACGCCGACUUCCGCGCCAAGGUCGCCGACUUUGGCCUCGCGCGCUUCAAGACUCCCGAUGCCGUCGUCGACACUGGACCCGUCGCCGGCGGGGACGACUUCAUGAGCCAAGAACUCGGCGAGGCCUGCGACCUCGACCUCUCCACCGCUGCCUCCGCCAAGGAUGACCCUGGUCCGCCGGCUAGAGCGCCGGGAAAUGAGUGGUGGAUGAAGGUGAAGCAGGACGACAGCGACGAGCUCGACCCACGGGACUACGUGGCCGAGUGGAUCGGCAGCCAAAUCUGCCCGGAGAGGAACCCAGAUUGGGCCGACGACGGCGACCUCAAGAACUCACCCUCCGUCGCCGACGAGGACAAUAAGAACGCGGGCAAUGCCGACAGCAGCGCCAGCAAAGGAGCCGCGGGCGACAAGAAGGAGGCGACCCAGAUGCGGGAGUGGUGGAAGGAAGAGUUCUUCGAGGAGAUGAGCAAGAAAGCCGGCGGCACCGUCGACAAGCCGCGCCGGGGCGGCGCCGGCAAGCCGUGGCUGCGGUCGAGCAGCGUGAACACCGGCAAUGCCAACGGGGACGGCAACGCCAAACGGAGCGCUCUGGAGGACAUGAGCUUCCGGAGGAGCCGGAAGAGGAGCCGGCGGCACGGCCAGUCCGCCGGCAGCGGCGACGUGCACCACAGCGGCGACCUGUUCAGCCGGGAGCUGAGCACGACGACGAGCAUGCGCGGCACGGUGUGCUACGUGGCGCCGGAGGGCGACCCGCUGGAGAAGGCCGACGUGUACAGCUUCGGCGUGCUGGUGCUGGUGAUCCUGUCGGGCCGGCGGCCGCUCCACAUCCUCUCGUCGCCGAUGAAGCUGGAGAAGGCCAACCUGGUGAGCUGGUGCCGGCAGCUCGCGCGCGCGGGCAACGUGCUCGAGCUCAUGGACGAGCGGCUGGAGGGCGCCUACGACAGGGGCCAGGCCACGCUCUGCGCGCAGCUCGCGCUCAUGUGCCUGCAGCGCCAGCCGGAGCACCGCCCGGACAGCACGGACAUUGUCAAGAUCCUCACCGGGGAGAUGGAGCUGCCGCCGGCGCCCGUGGAGUUCUCGCCGUCGCCCCAACUCCGGCGGCCGUUCCCGCGGUCGUCGCACCGGGCGCAGCAGGACGCCACCGGGUGA
Molecule: ribosomal RNA, 1803 nt
Filed under: Triticum aestivum (bread wheat)
Lineage: Eukaryota; Viridiplantae; Streptophyta; Magnoliopsida; Poales; Poaceae
Description: partial small subunit ribosomal RNA
Source: RNAcentral